Molecule: long non-coding RNA, 232 nt
Filed under: Elaeis guineensis (African oil palm)
Lineage: Eukaryota; Viridiplantae; Streptophyta; Magnoliopsida; Arecales; Arecaceae
Description: long non-coding RNA (EGUI_LNC026267)
Source: RNAcentral
GGUUCAAAUAGUAAGGAAAUCCUUUCUUUUUUGACAUUUUAGUCAUUCAAUCAAGCAACAUCUACAAGACUGAGUUGAAAAUUCAGUUAGGAUUCAUGAAUUAAGCCACCUCUUUAAGCAUAUGGAAAAAUUAACAUAUAUUGAACAACUUGAACAAGUCGUUGAGCAAAUUUUUUAAUUGAACAAGUUGAACCUGCUCAGGAAAGGGACAAUGGGCUGUUGGAACCACUCC